Molecule: ribosomal RNA, 440 nt
Filed under: uncultured bacterium
Lineage: Bacteria
Description: partial 16S ribosomal RNA
Rfam family: Bacterial small subunit ribosomal RNA
Source: RNAcentral
CCUACGGGAGGCAGCAGUAGGGAAUAUUGCUCAAUGGGGGAAACCCUGAAGCAGCAACGCCGCGUGGAGGAUGAAGGUUUUCGGAUUGUAAACUCCUUUUGUUAGAGAAGAUAAUGACGGUAUCUAACGAAUAAGCACCGGAUAACUCCGUGCCAGCAGCCGCGGUACUACGGAGGGUGCAAGCGUGACACGGAAUCACUGGGCGUAAAGAGCGCGUAGGCGGGAUAGCAAGUCUGAUGUGAAAUCCUAUGGCGUAACCAUAGAACUGCAGUUUAAACUGUUAUUCUAGAGUAUGGGAGAGGUAGGGGGAAUUCUUGGUGUAGGGGUAAAAUCCGUAGAGAUCAAGAGGAAUACUCAUUGCGAAGGCGACCUGCUAGAACAUAACUGACGCUGAUGCGCGAAAGCGUGGGGAGCAAACAGGAUUAGAUACCCUUGUAGUC